This 468-nucleotide ribosomal RNA is filed under the name uncultured bacterium. RNAcentral describes it as "partial 16S ribosomal RNA". It matches the Rfam family "Bacterial small subunit ribosomal RNA", at positions 28 to 507 of the family's 1533-position model. The record is from RNAcentral.
GACGAACGCUGGCGGCGUGCUUAACACAUGCAAGUCGAACGGAAAGGCCCUGCUUUUGUGGGGUGCUCGAGUGGCGAACGGGUGAGUAACACGUGAGUAACCUGCCCUUGACUUUGGGAUAACUUCAGGAAACUGGGGCUAAUACCGGAUAUGAGCUCCUGCUGCAUGGUGGGGGUUGGAAAGUUUCGGCGGUUGGGGAUGGACUCGCGGCUUAUCAGCUUGUUGGUGGGGUAGUGGCUUACCAAGGCUUUGCCGGGUAGCCGGCCUGAGAGGGUGACCGGCCACAUUGGGACUGAGAUACGGCCCAGACUCCUACGGGAGGCAGCAGUGGGGAAUAUUGCACAAUGGGCGGAAGCCUGAUGCAGCAACGCCGCGUGCGGGAUGACGGCCUUCGGGUUGUAAACCGCUUUCGCCUGUGACGAAGCGUGAGUGACGGUAAUGGGUAAAGAAGCACCGGCUAACUACGUG